CCCUUAGAUGUUCUGGGCUGCACGCGCGCUACACUGACAUGUCCAGCGAGCUCCCAACCUGCUCGGCAAAGAAUGGGUACCCUUUUUAACGCAUGUCGUGAUGGGGAUAGAUUAUUGCAAUUGUUGAUCUACAACGAGGAAUGCCUAGUAAACGCAAGUCAUCAGCUUGCAUUGAUUACGUCCCUGCCCUUUGUACACACCGCCCGUCGCUCCUACCGAUUGAAUGAUCCGAUGAAUAUCAUGGAUUGAGGAUGCAAGCAGGUUCGCCUGUCUUCAUCUUCGAGAAGUGAAGUAAAUCUUAUCAUUUAGAGGAGGGAGAAGUCGUAACA
Molecule: ribosomal RNA, 329 nt
Filed under: uncultured eukaryote
Lineage: Eukaryota
Description: partial 18S ribosomal RNA
Rfam family: Eukaryotic small subunit ribosomal RNA
Source: RNAcentral